CGUAGGGUGCGAGCGUUAAUCGGAAUUACUGGGCGUAAAGCGUGCGCAGGCGGUUUGUUAAGAUAGGCGUGAAAUCCCCGGGCUCAACCUGGGAACUGCGCUUACGACUGGCAAGCUAGAGUACGGCAGAGGGGGGUGGAAUUCCACGUGUAGCAGUGAAAUGCGUAGAGAUGUGGAGGAACACCAAUGGCGAAGGCAGCCCCCUGGGUCGAUACUGACGCUCAUGCACGAAAGCGUGGGUAGCAAACAGGAUUAGAUACCCUGGUAGUCCACGCCCUAAACGAUGUCAACUAGGUGUUGGAUGGGUAAAACCAUUUAGUACCGGAGCUAACGCGUGAAGUUGACCGCCUGGGGAGUACGGCCGCAAGGUUA
Molecule: ribosomal RNA, 372 nt
Filed under: uncultured organism
Description: bacterial SSU rRNA
Rfam family: Bacterial small subunit ribosomal RNA
Source: RNAcentral